RNAcentral lists this ribosomal RNA (508 nucleotides) under uncultured bacterium. RNAcentral's name for it is "partial 16S ribosomal RNA". It matches the Rfam family "Bacterial small subunit ribosomal RNA", at positions 29 to 523 of the family's 1533-position model. The record is from RNAcentral.
AUUGAACGCUGGCGGCAUGCCUUACACAUGCAAGUCGAACGGCAGCGGGGGAGAAGCUUGCUUUUCCUGCCGGCGAGUGGCGAACGGGUGAGUAAUACAUCGGAACGUGCCCUGUAGUGGGGGAUAACUAGUCGAAAGAUUAGCUAAUACCGCAUACGACCUGAGGGUGAAAGUGGGGGACCGCAAGGCCUCAUGCUAUAGGAGCGGCCGAUGUAGGAUUAGCUAGUUGGUGGGGUAAAGGCCUAACAAGGCGACGAUCAGUAGCUGGUCUGAGAGGACGAUCAGCCACACUGGGACUGAGACACGGCCCAGACUCCUACGGGAGGCAGCAGUGGGGAAGUUUGGACAAUGGGCGAAAGCCUGAUCCAGCAAUGCCGCGUGUGUGAAGAAGGCCUUCGGGUUGUAAAGCACUUUUGUCCGGAAAGAAAUGGCUCUGGUUAAUACCUGGGGUCGAUGACGGUACCGGAAGAAUAAGGACCGGCUAACUACGUGCCAGCAGCCGCCGCGA